Molecule: ribosomal RNA, 453 nt
Filed under: uncultured bacterium
Lineage: Bacteria
Description: bacterial SSU rRNA
Rfam family: Bacterial small subunit ribosomal RNA
Source: RNAcentral
GGGUUUGAUUCUGGCUCAGAACGAACGCUGGCGGCAGGCUUAACACAUGCAAGUCGAACGAACUCUUCGGAGUUAGUGGCCGACGGGUGAGUAACGCGUGGGAAUAUACCUUUCGGUACGGAACAACAGUUGGAAACGACUGCUAAUACCGUAUGCGCCCUACGGGGGAAAGAUUUAUCGCCGAAGGAUUAGCCCGCGUUGGAUUAGCUAGUUGGUGGGGUAAAGGCCUACCAAGGCGACGAUCCAUAGCUGGUCUGAGAGGAUGAUCAGCCACACUGGGACUGAGACACGGCCCAGACUCCUACGGGAGGCAGCAGUGGGGAAUAUUGGACAAUGGGGGCAACCCUGAUCCAGCCAUGCCGCGUGAGUGAUGAAGGCCCUAGGGUUGUAAAGCUCUUUCAGCGAGGAGGAUAAUGACGUUACUCGCAGAAGAAGCCCCGGCUAACUUCGUGC